Molecule: long non-coding RNA, 677 nt
Organism: Oncorhynchus keta (chum salmon)
Lineage: Eukaryota; Metazoa; Chordata; Actinopteri; Salmoniformes; Salmonidae
Exons: 4
Source: RefSeq, a predicted model, not a curated record
GAGACUAUAUACAGGGGGUACCGGUACAGAGUCAAUGUGGAGGCUAUAUACAGGGGGUACCGGUACAGAGUCAAUGUGGAGGCUAUAUACAGGGGGUACCGGUACAGAGUCAAUGUGGAGACUAUAUACAGGGGGUACCGGUACAGAGUUAAUGUGGAGACUAUAUACAGGGGGUACCGGUACAGAGUUAAUGUGGAGACUAUAUACAGGGGGUACCGGUACAGAGUCAAUGUGGAGACUAUAUACAGGGGGUACCGGUACAGAGUCAAUGUGGAGACUAUAUACAGGGGGUACCGGUACAGAGUCAAUGUGGAGACUAUAUACAGGGGGUGCCGGUAUAGAGUCAAUGUGGAGACUAUAUACAGGGGGUACCGGUACAGAGUCAAUGUGGAGACUAUAUACAGGGGGGUACCGGUACAGAGUCAAUGUGGAGACUAUAUACAGGGGGGUACCGGUACAGAGUCAAUGUGGAGACUAUAUACAGGGGGGUACCGGUACAGAGUCAAUGUGGAGACUAUAUACAGGGGGUACCGGUACAGAGUCAAUGUGGAGACUAUAUACAGGGGGGUACCGGUACAGAGUCAAUGUGGAGGCUAUAUACAGGGGGGUACCGGUACAGAGUCAAUGUGGAGGCUAUAUGCAGGGGGUACCGGUACAGAGUCAAUGUGGAGACUAUA